This 502-nucleotide long non-coding RNA is filed under the name Manihot esculenta (cassava). RNAcentral's name for it is "long non-coding RNA (MESC_LNC010741)". The record is from RNAcentral. Lineage: Eukaryota; Viridiplantae; Streptophyta; Magnoliopsida; Malpighiales; Euphorbiaceae.
UUCUAUUGCUUAUUUACACAUUUUUUAGUUUAAUUUAUGGUUUUUAUCUUGUUUUUACAGAAAAGGAAGAAAUUGGAAAAUUGGAGAAAAAGUGCAGAAAAUUGACAGAAAAGUGAUUGGGUCAGUGAUUUGCCCAGUGAUCUGCCCAGAUCAAGCUGAAGCAGAAACCUGGAGGCAACAGGCAGAAGUGAUAUGGGCAGUGAUUUGCCCAGGACACUCGAAGACACUGGCCAAGUCACUCGCAGAAGAUAGAGAGAACUGACUCGCAGAAACGUGAUCGGGUCUGUGAUUUGCCCAAUCACUUGAAGAAAUCGGUCAAAUCACCGGGCAAAUCACUUUCACAACAGAAACUGACAGCAGAGCGGGAAUUUGGGCAGAAAACAGAAAUCCGAAUUUUCAGAAGUCCAAAUCCAACUCAAUCACUAUCAAUACAAAUCCAAGAGCCACGAAAAGAACUUCUCAUCCAAGGAAUUCCAAUUGCAAUUAAAUUCAACAUCANNNN